UGGGGAAUCUUGCACAAUGGGGGAAACCCUGAUGCAGCGACGCCGCGUGAGCGAUGAAGCCCUUCGGGGUGUAAAGCUCUUUCGGCAGGGACGAUAAUGACGGUACCUGCAGAAGCAGCUGCGGCUAACUACGUGCCAGCAGCCGCGGUAAUACGUAGGCAGCAAGCGUUGUUCGGAGUUACUGGGCGUAAAGGGUGCGUAGGCGGCUCUAUAAGUAUGGUGUGAAAUCUCCCGGCUUAACCGGGAGGGUGCGCCGUAGACUGUGGGGCUAGAGUGUGGGAGAGGAAAGUGGAAUUCCUGGUGUAGCGGUGAAAUGCGUAGAUAUCAGGAGGAACACCGGUGGUGUAAACGGCUUUCUGGACCAUAACUGACGCUGAGGCACGAAAGCGUGGGUAGCAAACAGGAUUAGAUACCCUGGUAGUCCACGCCCUAAACGAUGCAUAUUUGGUGUGGGCCAUUCAUUUGGUCUGUGCCGGAGCUAACGCGUUAAAUAUGCCGCCUGGGGAGUACAGUCGCAAGGCUG
This 523-nucleotide ribosomal RNA is filed under the name uncultured bacterium. RNAcentral describes it as "bacterial SSU rRNA". It matches the Rfam family "Bacterial small subunit ribosomal RNA", at positions 355 to 896 of the family's 1533-position model. The record is from RNAcentral.